Molecule: long non-coding RNA, 190 nt
Organism: Telopea speciosissima
Lineage: Eukaryota; Viridiplantae; Streptophyta; Magnoliopsida; Proteales; Proteaceae
Exons: 3
Source: RefSeq, a predicted model, not a curated record
UGGUGCAACAUGACACAUUAGCACGAAAAGGAAGAAUGUGAAGAUUGGAUCAGUUGGGUUUGCUGGAAAACCUUGUUCCCAACGAGUGAAGAAGUAUUUCCGUCUAAAGUUUCUGGAAAGGGAUCAAGAAGAAAUAGAUGAGGAUCUUGAUUUCAGAGCACUCGAAAAUGGCUUUGUUACGAUUACUCCU